CAAAACAAACUCUUCCUCAUCGUCCUUCUCCAGAACCGAUCUAGGGUCUUGCUCGGCUGCCUGCUCUACAAGACGGGUGCCCAGGAAUUCCUCUGCGAUGUAGAACAAUCGGCACACAUCGAUCACAGUGCGGAGCAAAGUCUUUGGCUGAUAAAGGAGGAGUGGACUAUGGUGCAAUAAUGCAAUCAGUUGCACCAGAGUUGUCCACAUUGGAUUCUGAAGUGGGAUUUGAAAGAGGACGAGAUCGAAGCUGAUCUCGUCAACAUGAAUCUGAAAA
Lolium perenne is the source of this 277-nucleotide non-coding RNA. NCBI's taxonomy places the organism in Eukaryota, Viridiplantae, Streptophyta, Magnoliopsida, Poales, Poaceae. The record is from RefSeq and is a predicted model, not a curated record.